Molecule: RNA transcript, 1589 nt
Organism: Fundulus heteroclitus (mummichog)
Lineage: Eukaryota; Metazoa; Chordata; Actinopteri; Cyprinodontiformes; Fundulidae
Exons: 3
Source: RefSeq, a predicted model, not a curated record
GUCUGGGAGUAUGCCACUGUACACAGAAUUUUGUGACAAAAUAAUUCGGGCACAGUUGAUUAAAAAACAGGAAAUCUUCAGGAUGAAAAAGCUCUCUUCCCUGUUCCAGAAAAUGAUACGAGAACACCAUGGUCAUGGAAGUUACAGAUCAGAUCUUCUGAAGAAAAGACUGAGGCAAGACUUUCCCCAACUAAAUUUCUACAAGCCUCUGAGGAAAAACCUGAGUGAAAUGGUUUUUACAGAAGCUACAGGACUUCUCAACAAGGGUUCAUCAACUGAAACUGAGUCAUCAGGAUCGCAAGAUACUUUGUCGAGUGGUGGAGAGACAGUUCAGGAAGGUCGUACAUAUGCAGCACAACGAGACCAUACCAGAACCAUUGAUAGUGCAGGUAUAAUUCUUAAACAAGCAGUUAAGAGUGCCCCUAAAAUGAGUGCCAAUUGGCCUCCUACAUCUGAGGAUCUAAAUAUUUCCUCAGCUAGAAAGAUUGUGCCAAUUGAACUGUAUAAUUUACUUGCUUGGUGCAUAGGUGUAAGUGAUGAGUUGACAUUAUCUAACAUGGUUAAUGUAUCGGAGGAGGUUGAUCUUCGUUUACUGUCAAUCUGCCAAGAUAUUAUUUAUUUAUCCUCAAAAGGUAGAAAUCAAACCCCAAAAUCUCUAACACUUGGUUUAACUCUGCACUACUUGACAGGGUCAUUUCAGGUUGUAAAUAUGGUGAGUAAACUUGGUCACUGUGUAUCUUGGGAAUCUGUUGUAGGUUUUGAGACAAGUCUUGCUCAGCUUCAGUUGUCCAGAGGUUUGGAUCUCCCACAAGGGUUUGCCAGUAAUAACUUUAUUGUUCUAGUGUGGGACAAUGUAGAUUUUGGAGAGGAAACAUCGUCAGGGAAGGGUACCACCCAUCACACUAUUUUCUAUUGUAAUUCUGAAGUCGUAACAACCUGAAGUGAUCCUAAAAAGUUUAACAUCUCUUGCUGGGUCCAACAAAAGUCAUUGUUUAAAAACAGAAAUGUCUUCGUGCCUAGUUUUCACUGUUCAAAUUUUAGCUGUGUAAAAUUUUGCUUCCAAUAUUGUAACUGGUCUGCUAGGUGAUAAAAUUCACACCACUUUUCAUAGUUAUUAGUUAACCAGACACAAAAGGAGAUCUUGUUAUUAGAGUUUUUCAAUUGAAAAUUCAAAGAAUUGCAGUUUUCAUGUGCAAUAAAGAUAUAUUAUGGGCAAUUGUGAAAUUGUUAAAAAGUGUAUUUUUUCAUUUAGAAUAAUUCCUUACUUAAAGCACGCAGAACAUUGCCGCUUUAUAAGCUCUGAGUAAGUAUGAAUGUCUGUAGGAAUCAUAAUUUUGAGUCCGAUCGCCUGAAUAAUAAAAAAGUUACAAGGGUUUGAAAAUGGUAGAAGACCCAAAUUUGUCACUUUUUUGGGUAAACUGCCACCUUUGGCACCCAUUUUCUCAAAUACUGGCAGGAAUCCCAUGGAGAACUUUUUUCCCCAGCUCGAGUACAUAUUUAAGAUUGGAAAACUGCUGUCGAAAAGUAGUCCCCAGGUUAGUGGAGCGAAAUCCUAUUUCUAGCCUCAUUUUGAGCUUCAGCCUAUGGCC